Molecule: ribosomal RNA, 466 nt
Filed under: uncultured Quadrisphaera sp.
Lineage: Bacteria; Bacillati; Actinomycetota; Actinomycetes; Kineosporiales; Kineosporiaceae
Description: bacterial SSU rRNA
Rfam family: Bacterial small subunit ribosomal RNA
Source: RNAcentral
CCCCGCACAAGCGGCGGAGCAUGCGGAUUAAUUCGAUGCAACGCGAAGAACCUUACCAAGGACUUGAUAUACAGGGAAAUCUCGCAGAGAUGUGAGGUCCGCAAGGGUCCUGUACAGGUGGUGCAUGGUUGUCGUCAGCUCGUGUCGUGAGAUGUUGGGUUAAGUCCCGCAACGAGCGCAACCCUCGUCCUAUGUUGCCAGCCGGGUUAUGCCGGGGACUCAUAGGAGACUGCCGGGGUCAACUCGGAGGAAGGUGGGGAUGACGUCAAAUCAGUCAUGCCCCUUAUGUCUUGGGCUUCACGCAUGCUACAAUGGCCAGUACAAAGGGCUGCGAGACCGUGAGGUGGAGGCGAAUCCCAAAAAGCUGGUCUCAGUUCGGAUUGGGGUCUGCAACUCGACCCCAUGAAGUCGGAGUCGCUAGUAAUCGCAGAUCAGCAACGCUGCGGUGAAUACGUUCCCGGGGCUU